AAAAUACGAUAAGUAGUAUAAAUUAUAGAAUUUAGUAAAUUAUUAAAUUUUUAAACGUAUAUUACGUCCUUUAGUAUUCUGUAGGGUAUACCUGUUUGAGUGUUAUCUAUACCCUUAAGCUCUACUUAGUGUUGGGCGUCUAUUCUAUCUUUACGCGUAGACUUGCCCUAAAUAUAUUAGUAGUGGUUUUUACCCUCUCCCGUGUAGUAUAUUACGCUUCUCAAGGCUGUGGUGGCCUGUGUCUAAUAAGCUAAACCCCUUUAUCUUUAACCUUAAAUUAGGUAGGGAUACCUGCUAAACUUAAGC
RNAcentral lists this unclassified non-coding RNA (306 nucleotides) under plant metagenome. RNAcentral's name for it is "partial contains 5.8S ribosomal RNA, internal transcribed spacer 2, and large subunit ribosomal RNA". The stretch from base 1 to 105 matches the Rfam family "5.8S ribosomal RNA", at positions 50 to 154 of the family's 154-position model. The record is from RNAcentral.